RNAcentral lists this ribosomal RNA (446 nucleotides) under uncultured bacterium. Its description in RNAcentral is "bacterial SSU rRNA". It matches the Rfam family "Bacterial small subunit ribosomal RNA", at positions 331 to 793 of the family's 1533-position model. The record is from RNAcentral.
CCAGACUCCUACGGGAGGCAGCAGUGGGGGAUAUUGCACAAUGGGGGGAACCCUGAUGCAGCGACGCCGCGUGGGUGAGGAAGUACCCCGGUAUGUAAAGCCCUUUCGGCAGGGAAGAAAAUGACGGUACCUGGCGAAGAAGCCCCGGCUAAAUACGUGCCAGCAGCCGCGGUAAUACGUAUGGGGCAAGCGUUAUCCGGAUUUACUGGGUGUAAAGGGAGCGUAGGCGGCAGGGCAAGCCUGAUGUGAAAGCCCGGGGCUCACCCCCGGGACUGCAUUGGGAACUGCCCCGCUCGAGUGCCGGAGGGGCAGGCGGAAUUCCUAGUGUAGCGGUGAAAUGCGUAGAUAUUAGGAGGAACACCAGUGGCGAAGGCGGCCUGCUGGACGGUGUACUGACGCUGAGGCUCGAAAGCGUGGGGAGCAAACAGGAUUAGAUACCCGCGUAC